GAGAUAACAGAGUUAAAGGAGUUAAAUGUGAAACAAAAUGAAGAAAUGUGUUUGAUGAAACAAGAGGUAUCAUGGAUGAGACAAGUCAUGUACAAAAUUGCUCCUAAUGAUUUAUGCCUCAUAAUGUCAAUGGAAUGCGAACUGAACAGGUCCCUGAUGCUAACAGUGGUCAUCAACCAGUACCACAAGCACGUCGGAUGUCUACUACUGCUGAAAAUGCUUCAUCUUCUCCUGGAUUUGAGGCAGGUGGAUCUGGACAUCAUUCUGGUGCGCAU
This is a long non-coding RNA of Nicotiana attenuata, 275 nucleotides long. RefSeq lists it as uncharacterized. The transcript is spliced from 3 exons. NCBI's taxonomy places the organism in Eukaryota, Viridiplantae, Streptophyta, Magnoliopsida, Solanales, Solanaceae. The record is from RefSeq and is a predicted model, not a curated record.